AAGUCGUAACAAGGUUUCCGUAGGUGAACCUGCGGAAGGAUCAUUAAUGAAAUGAUUUUUUUUCGGGGUUUUCCCUGAAAAAUAAUUCACCUUUUGUGCACUGUUAUACGAUAUACUUUGGUUAGAGCUUUGAUUUCAUUUUUUUGAAAUCAACUUCUUGCUGACUCUAUCCUGCUAAGGACAGUUGGCUAUGGAGCGGCCUACCAAGGUUUUUUUAUCAAACUCUUGUAUUUGUCUGACCUAAACUACUAUAAUAAAAUCAUAACUUUCAACAACGGAUCUCUUGGCUCUC
Molecule: unclassified non-coding RNA, 292 nt
Filed under: fungal sp.
Lineage: Eukaryota; Fungi
Description: partial internal transcribed spacer region
Rfam family: Eukaryotic small subunit ribosomal RNA (bases 1-46)
Source: RNAcentral